AAAUAGUGCUAGCUUUUUAAGAGAGUUAAAUUGAAGUAAAUUUUCAAAUGGUGUGGAGAGUACUGUGCUAGAUAUGGGUAAAAACUGGAAGCAAUUCCUGUCUUCAUGGCCAUGUCAUCGUGUUAUUAGGACUACUAUAUGAGCAGAUUUCCUCCAGAUAAGUGUGGUUGUAGUUUGUGGUGGGACCAAGUAAGGACCAUAGUAGGCAGGCUCAUUGGUAGAAUGCGUUUGUUUCUUUUACAGCGGAAUGUGGCCAGAAUUCUUAAUCUGAUCAGCGACUUUAUGUUAAUGGUGUAGUUUCUCAACCAUACUUUUCAUCUUCUUCAGAAGGAAAACAUAAUUUGUUAACAGCCACAUAAAGAAAUGUGACCUGAAAAUUUUUGUUUAUCGUGGAUGCUAAUAAAUGUUCAUAUAAAAUUUUAUGCUGGUUUCUCUGGCAUAACAAAUUAUACUAAAAAACAAAAAACAAAUCAGUGUUUGCCAAAUGGAAAAAAAAAAGAUAGUUGAAAACAUUUUCACUGUUUUAAAUGUCUGCUUUUUUUAUGGAAGAAAAUAAAUUCUAACUUUGUUUUUCUUCUUUAUGAUCUUAUAAGUGAAGGUUCUUCAGGCCUGUUCUGUAUCAGAUUGUUUUAAAAUAUUUUCUGUUUUGCUUCUUCAUUCUUUCAUGGGGUUUACUGUGCCAAUUUUUAAUUUAAAAACCUUGGUUUUAUGUAUAAUGAAAUAAUUCCCAGAAUUUAUGUGUCUUAAUCAAAAAACAAUUUUGUUUUGAGUUCUGCCUGCAAACUUAAGUGUGUACAGGGAUGUUGUCUGCUCCAUGUCCAGAAUAAGACUUGGCCUGCUGACAGUGCCUGUAAUUACCAUAUUAACCAAUUGAUAAAAAUCUGUGAGUGUGUUAUCUUAUAUCUAUAGCUGGAGAGAUGGCUCAGAAGUUAAGAGCUCUUCCUGAUUUUCCAGAGGACCUGUGUUCAGUUCCCAGCACCCACGUUGAAUGACCUACAACCUCUUCUAAUUUGAGUUUUAGUUGAUCUGACACCUUCUUCUGGGCUCCUCAGGCAUCAGCAAAGACAUGGCUUGUGUACACACAUGAGGGUAUACACACACACACACACACACACACACACAGACAUAAAAAUGAAAAUAAUUUUUUAAAAAUUAAAAAGCAUUAAAUUAAAAAAUUAAAUAUUUAAAUGUAAUAUUGAAAUAAAAAGUUGUAUAGAAAUAAUUUACAAUAAUUUCAGUUAAAAAACAUGUAUUAGGGUCUGGCUUUAUAGCAUUAUACAGAACUUUCCUAGUAUAUUCUUAUAUAUGAAAACAACAGCAAACUUGAAUGUAAAUUCUUACUAUUUCUUGCUAGCUAGCAGAUCAUAUUUGAAGCAAAUCUAAUUUGAAUUAACUUUAGGAUGCAGUUUCAGUAAACUGAUAGCACAAUCUUUUGCUCACCUUAAUGCUAACACAUAAGACUGUAGAACCCUAGAGAUAUAAGGUCCACUGUAUGUGGGCCGUGCUUUAUAAGCUAAUGUGUUUUGAAGGCCGCAUGGGAGCAGACGAGGGUAUGUGGAUGGGGAUGAUGUCCCAGAAGAGCCAAACACACAGAUCUCAGCUGCUGAAAAUAAAAGGUACGUGACAGCAAUGAUCUCCUUGAGUCUUCACACCCUGACACAGCACCUGCCUAAGACUGGCUUCAGGAAAAGUGGAAAAGUACACCGUGUUAGCAAGCCGCCUUUAUAGUGAGAGGAAGUAGUGGGGGGAGAGGUUGAGGGCCUGGGAAUGAGCACCUACGGUAUUUCCUUUGGCAUUCUCUCUGUCUCGCUCCCCCUCCUGUACUAUGGCUUGAGCACAAAUCAUUGAGUGAGGUAAGCACUUUACCACUGAGCUACAUCCCUAGGCCUAUACCAUUAUUUUCAAGAAUAAGUUUUUUAGUAAAGUUUGGCAGGGCUUUCAGUGUAACCCUCUCUCAUUAUAAAAUAUAUAAAUUCGUUUGAAAGAAUGAAGGAGAAAUAACAUAAUUGAAUGGUGUUAUAAUGAAUUUGAAACAUCUGGGAAUUGUGGCUUGCAGAGAUGACACAGCGGUUAAGAAGUUAUACUGUUCUUGUAGAGGACUCAGACUUGAGUUCGAGCAAUACAUCUGAUGGCUUAACAGCUGCCCUUAAUUCCAGUGCCAGAGGAGCCUAAUACCUCAGCAGGCACAUACACACAUACAUACUUAAAAGGAAGUCAUGGUACUGCAGUUGGACUGAAAAUGGAUUGAGAAUAUCCCCUUAGUGUGAGUUUUUAAGUUUAUUUUUCAUUUAUUUUUGAUUAUUGGUGGGGUUUUAAUGCUUACACUGUAAAAUUAGUAUUCAAGUUUCUAUUGAUAACAAAGCAAAUAACUUUCUAGUUUUAUUUUGGUGCUUUUUUGUGUUGUCCAUAAGAAUGAAUAGUU
This 2422-nucleotide long non-coding RNA is filed under the name Mus musculus (house mouse). RNAcentral describes it as "long non-coding RNA chr1:10073330-10075752". Lineage: Eukaryota; Metazoa; Chordata; Mammalia; Rodentia; Muridae. The record is from RNAcentral.